Polyodon spathula (Mississippi paddlefish) is the source of this 633-nucleotide non-coding RNA. NCBI's taxonomy places the organism in Eukaryota, Metazoa, Chordata, Actinopteri, Acipenseriformes, Polyodontidae. The record is from the annotation of a RefSeq genome assembly.
UAGUGCAUGUAAAAAGUGAUUGAAUUAUAAAAUAACCUAUAAUCAGGAAUAUUAAAUUGAAGAGUUGCCCACUCCUUUUUGGAGACUAAAAAAAAUUGUGUUCAUCACUUGCAUCACCUUGUUGCUGUGAUGUCACUUCCUGUAUGUUUGCAGUGAAGCCCCGGGCAGUGCUGCUGUGCUGCUCCUCUCUCUCCAGCACAGGCACGUGAAGAUGGCUGGAGUUUUUAUCGUGUUCACGGCAUUGCUGCUGUGUCUCCCAGAUUUCUCAGAUGGUAUCAACAUUGUCCAGUCCCCUCCUUCUCUGUUUGUGAGUCCUGGACACUCUGCUGAACUCCAGUGCUAUCACGGUGAUAGCAGCUAUACCCGCAUGUACUGGUACCAGCAAACCAGGAAAGGAGCUUUGGAGCUGAUUGGAUAUGAGUAUGGCACAAUAUACCCUGAAGAAAAGUUUAAAGAAAGAUUCAGAAUGACUGGAAAAGCAACAGAGAAGGGCUUUUUAACCAUCUCCAGUGUAACAGCUGAAGACAGUGCUGUGUACUUCUGUGCAGCCAGCAUACACAGUGCUGCAGAUCACCUCUCUCCUCUACAAUAACCCUGUCUAGCCACAACCUCCCCUGUGCUUUCAUGAGAACA